This 623-nucleotide ribosomal RNA is filed under the name uncultured fungus. Its description in RNAcentral is "eukaryotic LSU rRNA". It matches the Rfam family "Eukaryotic large subunit ribosomal RNA", at positions 24 to 664 of the family's 3401-position model. The record is from RNAcentral. Lineage: Eukaryota; Fungi.
CCCGCUGAACUUAAGCAUAUCAAUAAGCGGAGGAAAAGAAACCAACAGGGAUUGCCUCAGUAACGGCGAGUGAAGCGGCAACAGCUCAAAUUUGAAAUCUGGCUCUUUUAGGGUCCGAGUUGUAAUUUGUAGAAGAUGCUUCGAGUGUGGCUCUAGCCUAAGUUCCUUGGAACAGGACGUCAUAGAGGGUGAGAAUCCCGUAUGCGGCUGGUGGCUUUCGCUCAUGUGAAGCUCUUUCGACGAGUCGAGUUGUUUGGGAAUGCAGCUCAAAAUGGGUGGUAAAUUUCAUCUAAAGCUAAAUAUUGGCCAGAGACCGAUAGCGCACAAGUAGAGUGAUCGAAAGAUGAAAAGCACUUUGGAAAGAGAGUUAAACAGUACGUGAAAUUGUUGAAAGGGAAGCGCUUGCAACCAGACUUGCGCGUAGUUGAUCAUCCAGAGUUCUCUCUGGUGCACUCGAUUACGCUCAGGCCAGCAUCAGUUUAGGUGGUUGGAUAAAGGCCUUGGGAAUGUGGCUCCUCCGGGAGUGUUAUAGCCCAUUGUGUAAUACCCUGUGGUGGACUGAGGUUCGCGCAUCUGCAAGGAUGCUGGCGUAAUGGUCAUCAGCGACCCGUCUUGAAACACGG